AUGCAAUUUCGUUAUUUAAUUAAUGGCCAUGAUUUUUAGUACAUUCGCACCAUGCCUUUACUUUUAAUCAAUGGACCGCAUUUUUGACAAUGCUUGUGAUGUCAGAGUAAUCCGGGGAGCAGAAAUGGCUCCUCUGAACACAGCGUGCGCAAACCAACUGAAUGAGCCAGAGGAAGUGGCGGGUGAUGUAGUCCACACCUUUCCGGUAGAUCAGAGUUGUAAAGCACAGACAGAACAAUGAGACAGAUAUUUCACCAGACGUAUAAAUGUGAAGCCCGGUUCCACUUACUACCAAAUAUGGUGAUGAACGGAAGUCCAGUAGCCCGAAAGUCGGAGAAGAUGGAGCGAGAAAGAUUUUGGCCGACAGAGGUCAUUAAGGCUCUGGUCUAUCUUGGGUUUGCUAUAAUAAUCUUUGGUAGUAGCACUUCAACUCGACUGAAAAGGAGAGAAACGAAAGCAGGUUGGAAAUUACUGAGAGGAGGGGGGAAACAGAAGGGGGAGACGAGGGGGUAUUUUUGGAUUAAAUCAAUGACCGUAGUCACCGGGACUUUAGGAUCACGGGCUCCUACGAACGAGUGGGUAGCCCAGUGCGACGUUUGAUGGAAUAGUUGCAGACAAUUGCCUUUCUCCUCAGGUGGUGCUGAUCGAAACAAGGGCGAGGAGGGGGACCUCGAAACACACUCACCAAGAGGAAGUCCAGAGUACCGCAGUGUUUUUGGAGGGCCUAUUCGAUUUCCUUGGUCUAUCAACAGUCCCCGCCCCUCUGACCCGGAAUUUAAUAGAAAUCGAUAGGAAUAAGAAAUCGAUCAUAUUAACAUUUUGUGACAGCUACAAUUAAGAAGUAUACGGCUUGUCAUACAAUUUACUUUCCAAACCUUUGGGUACAAAUUUGAACUUGGAUGCCUCAAACUCUGAGCAGUAAGUUAUUAGCAGCAAUCCUCAUAGUUACUGAUUUGUCACCAGGAAUAAGCUUAUUUUUGCCAGUUUAUUUGACAGACCGACACAUUCGUUAAGCAUUGAUUUGAUCCUGACUGCUCAGGGUGAGCUUCAUAUUUCACACCAUGUCCAUUGAUAGUUAGUUGCAGGGUUACGCCUGAUUAAGCAAAUAAAUCAAGUUGAAAGCUGCAUGGUUUUGACAUUAAGGAAGUAAUACGGGACGUACUGAAGAACCCAACCAGUUUUUUUUAAUUUGACAAGG
RNAcentral lists this long non-coding RNA (1198 nucleotides) under Oncorhynchus kisutch (coho salmon). RNAcentral describes it as "lncRNA (ENSOKIG00005006511.1)". Lineage: Eukaryota; Metazoa; Chordata; Actinopteri; Salmoniformes; Salmonidae. The record is from RNAcentral.